Long non-coding RNA from Talpa occidentalis (Iberian mole), 254 nucleotides. RefSeq lists it as uncharacterized. The record is from RefSeq and is a predicted model, not a curated record. The transcript is spliced from 3 exons. NCBI's taxonomy places the organism in Eukaryota, Metazoa, Chordata, Mammalia, Eulipotyphla, Talpidae.
GUGCAGGUGAGGCUACCUCGGUCUCAAACUGGAAGCGAGGCAGGCCAACUUGCACUGUGCCAGGCAGCAACCCGGCUCCUCCCCUUCUCGCCCUCAAUCAAAGGCAGCUAGACCUCCCUGUGUGUGAUCACAAAAACCCUCGCUGGAAGUAAGGAGGAAUGGCCUUUGGCCAGUACCAGGGAAAGGGGAGAGGCACCUGGGAAACAAUAUGCCCCUGAAGGAGAGUUGCUGGACCUGCCUCGUUACCUGCAUCC